AAUAUUGAACUUUGGGGCCUGUGUAAAGGCCAAAAGCUUUAAAGCCCCGGACUCAAAGUUCACAAGUUAACAAGAAGGCGUGAAAAAAUGCCCACAGGGGGGGCCUUCUCAAACCCCCAGGGCGAAGGCGGCCCACUUGAGAAACACUAAAGAGAUAUUGGGCCUUUGGAAUAUUCACAAGGUAAUAUGAAAGAUGUUAAAAGGGUUGGAGAAUAUUUCCCAGCGAAUUCCCAUAGAGAAGGGGUGCCAAAAAAUUUUCCGUUUAGAAUUAAAUUUCGGGUGAAAGGAAACCCGACCACAGUUCGCGCGAAAACGCCCAGGCUCUCCGAACCUGGAGAACCUGGGGUAAGUAGGAACCGGCCUGGAAGGUUUCCGGAAAAAGGCCUUGGGGGAAGCCAAAACCAGGGAACUUAGGAAUUACACCUUGGCUUAGUUCCCACCGCCACGUUAAAACCGAAUUGAAUAAACUUAGACUUGUUCAGGGGUCACCAUGCGUGUUUUUGGUGGCGCAGCUAACGCAUUAAGUUAUCCGCCUGGGGAGUAGCGGUCGCAAGAAUUAGAGAAUCUCAAAUGGAAAUUGACGGGGGCCUGCACAAAGCAGGUGGAGCAGUGUGGUUUAAUUCGAAGCAACGCAGCAGAACCUUACCCAUACGUUUUGACAUCCCCUACUCGCGGAUCUGUGGAGACACUUUCUAACAGCUCUCGGCUGGAUAGGUGACAGUGCUGUAAAGGCGUCG
RNAcentral lists this ribosomal RNA (737 nucleotides) under Sphingomonas sp. ICB119. RNAcentral describes it as "partial 16S ribosomal RNA". Lineage: Bacteria; Pseudomonadati; Pseudomonadota; Alphaproteobacteria; Sphingomonadales; Sphingomonadaceae. The record is from RNAcentral.